Molecule: ribosomal RNA, 316 nt
Filed under: uncultured Streptococcus sp.
Lineage: Bacteria; Bacillati; Bacillota; Bacilli; Lactobacillales; Streptococcaceae
Description: bacterial SSU rRNA
Rfam family: Bacterial small subunit ribosomal RNA
Source: RNAcentral
GUGUCGUGAGAUGUUGGUUAAGUCCGCACGAGCGCAACCCUACUUGUUAGUUGCCAUCAUUCAGUUGGGCACUCUAGCGAGACUGCCGGUAAUAAACCGGAGGAAGGUGGGGAUGACGUCAAAUCAUCAUGCCCCUUAUGACCUGGGCUACACACGUGCUACAAUGGUUGGUACAACGAGUUGCGAGUCGGUGACGGCGAGCUAAUCUCUCAAAGCCAAUCUCAGUUCGGAUUGUAGGCUGCAACUCGCCUACAUGAAGUCGGAAUCGCUAGUAAUCGCGGAUCAGCACGCCGCGGUGAAUACGUUCCCGGGCCUU